GUGCCAGCUGCCGCGGUAAUACCGGCAGCCCGAGUGAUGGCCGAUCUUAUUGGGCCUAAAGCGUCCGUAGCUGGCUGCGCAAGUCCGUCGGGAAAUCCACUCGCCCAACGAGUGGGCGUCCGACGGAAACUACACAGCUUGGGACCGGAAGGCUCGAAGGGUACGUUCGGGGUAGGAGUGAAAUCCCGUAAUCCCGGACGGACUACCGAUGGCGAAAGCACUCUGAGAAGACGGCUUCGACAGUGAGGGACGAAAGCUCGGGUCUCAAACCGGAUUAGAUACCCGGGUGUCC
RNAcentral lists this ribosomal RNA (292 nucleotides) under uncultured bacterium. Its description in RNAcentral is "partial 16S ribosomal RNA". It matches the Rfam family "Archaeal small subunit ribosomal RNA", at positions 455 to 747 of the family's 1478-position model. The record is from RNAcentral.